Molecule: long non-coding RNA, 713 nt
Organism: Polistes dominula (European paper wasp)
Lineage: Eukaryota; Metazoa; Arthropoda; Insecta; Hymenoptera; Vespidae
Source: RefSeq, a predicted model, not a curated record
UCUGCAUUUUUUUAAUUUUUUGUUUGUUUUCAUUUGGGUUCGUUCUUAAUAAAAUUAUUAUUAUGAUUAGUUCGACGAAAUUUUGUGUGAUAGUUUUUUGUUUUUGAAGAAGUACAGCAUUAGUAGGAGGAGGAAGAGGAAGAGGUGAAGGAGAAGAAAGAAGGGUGGAUCAUUUUUUUUUUGUCUAAAUCAGUUCGUAGCCGUACGAGAUUAGAAAAUUCGUUCAAGGUUACGAAUCAUCGUUCAACAAAUACUACGCUUUGCUUCUUUUAACCGAUACGAGGUCAACGUGAAACUUACUACCACUUUGCUGUGCAUUUUUCUGUCUGUCUGUCUGUCUGUCCGUUUGUCUGUACGGUUGUUUAUCUCUUGUCUGUCUCUCCCUCUCUCUUUCUCUCUUCCUCACACACACGUACACACACCCAACGUAUGUACACGAACGCAAGAGCAUAAACAACGUUUUACUCUUUCGAGUUGGUCUUUCGACGAAGGCGCAACAACAACGACACCUUUUUCCUCGACCUGGUUUUCCCAUACCGCAUAUAUCAAGAAAACGAUGAUUAGAUGCGAUAUUUGAUUAGUAUGACGUGCAACUGGCUAGCUCGCAUAUCUAAACAAAACAAAGAAAAACACGUUAUGUUUUUGUGUUUGUCUUCCUUCUUGUGUGUUGUAUAUAAUAAAAAUGUUGCGUGUUGAGUUUCGUUUGAAAUGUA